CAGUGUGGGUGACUUGGAAACAACCUCAGUUCUUAGAGGUUUGCCAAAAGCCUGGAGCUGUGCUCAACUUAGGUAUGGUCGUGUCUUUAUCACAGGAUGUUUGCCUCAAGAAGCCAAGAAACAGCCUAAAAGAAUG
Molecule: long non-coding RNA, 136 nt
Filed under: Microtus ochrogaster (prairie vole)
Lineage: Eukaryota; Metazoa; Chordata; Mammalia; Rodentia; Cricetidae
Description: FAS antisense RNA 1 conserved region (ENSMOCG00000002911.1)
Rfam family: FAS antisense RNA 1 conserved region
Source: RNAcentral